UAUAUAUAUAUAUAUAUAUAUAUAUAUGUGUGUGUGUGUCAGGGCAGUGCCUACCUCGGGUAAAAUAGAUCGAUAGCAAUAUUUUCCUUUCGUGACAAAAUAUGCACCUAACUCAAUAAAAUCAUGAAGGCUACUCUGAUUACUAUGUAUAAAAUGCAAAUAUCUAUAUUUUUUUUUUGUAGAUUAGGUAGGCAUAAUUCAUUCCUGCUUUUCAAACUCAGUAUUUAAGCUAUGCAUAAUACUUCCAUAGUACACAUGCUGAGUAUACUCCUACAACAA
Octopus sinensis (East Asian common octopus) is the source of this 279-nucleotide long non-coding RNA. RefSeq lists it as uncharacterized. Lineage: Eukaryota; Metazoa; Mollusca; Cephalopoda; Octopoda; Octopodidae. The record is from RefSeq and is a predicted model, not a curated record. The transcript has 3 exons.